GGAAAAGGAGAAGUGUCGCUCCACACUGAGUUAAAGAUAUCUCCAGCAGAUAAGGCCGACACCAAACCUGCCGCAGGAGCUGAAACAAGUGACGUUUUUGGAAAUAAGAAAAAGCAGGAUCGCUCUUCAUGUGGUUCCAACACACCGUCAAGUAGUGAUAUAGAAGCAGAUAAUGCUCCUGAGAAUCAAGAAAAGGCUAACGACAAG
This 207-nucleotide unclassified non-coding RNA is filed under the name Hevea brasiliensis (rubber tree). Lineage: Eukaryota; Viridiplantae; Streptophyta; Magnoliopsida; Malpighiales; Euphorbiaceae. The record is from RNAcentral.